This 346-nucleotide unclassified non-coding RNA is filed under the name Hevea brasiliensis (rubber tree). The record is from RNAcentral. Lineage: Eukaryota; Viridiplantae; Streptophyta; Magnoliopsida; Malpighiales; Euphorbiaceae.
GAGAAAAUAAACUAUAUAACAUCAAUUUUCUGUUUGAUUGGUUUUAUCAUGGGCAUUCCCACUAAGUAUUUUAAUUCUCUGUUGUAGGCCAGACAAGCUCAAGUUAUUUUAAUCUUUCUUGAAUCUAUUAAUUUUGCUUCUUUAGCAUAAAGGAGAGUUGUAGUUAAUUGGUUUUAGAAUGUUGCAUCUACAUGGCUGCAUAAGUUAAUACUACACUUGUUGGCUACAACACAUCUACGAUGUCUAGUAUUAUAACGAUGUAAUCAGACCCAUUAACCUAGGAAUGCCAUGGUAGUGAUUUCAAUAGUGCAGUGGGUAGUAGUAGAAGAAUAUAAUUUACUCAUUC